UUCAUCCGAAACUAAAUCACUAGUAUCAACAUCCGGUGUAAUUUUUGCUUGUAUUUUGGAGAAACUCGAUUGAUUUCUAGCAAACUUGGUUUACCACUACAUCGUCGCUUAUUAUUAUUUGUUGCUGCUUGGGACAAUUAAGUUAAGUCAGCAACCGUCUACCAGACUGCAAGAUUCAUCUCUUCCAAAGGAUGUCGUACCUUUCCAGAUACUGCCGAUGGUGAAGCUUGGGUGCACUGGGCCGGUUAUCCAGCCGUGUGGAAUCAACAUCUCCAGCUGAACUGGGGCCGGGAAUUAUAUAAGAAUCCUUAGCAGCAUGAGUGCCAGCCAGUCAUUGCUGUUCUUUGCAGUGCUGAGGAGGACAGUCCUGCCAACAUAACAGUUUGUUCAAUAACAGGAGACAAACAGAAACACAGAGGUGCUAUACAUUCCGAUGGAAAAGACAACAAAAGCAUCUCCCAUCAUUUUGGCGUGGCUCAGAUCAAGAGGAGAAUUUUAAGAAAGGUGAUGGUUGGGCACACACAAGAAGACAUAGAUCACAGGUGUCCAGGCAUAUGAGUAGACUGGAGUUUCACACUCUGCCAAACUUACUUCAUCAGAG
Long non-coding RNA from Mya arenaria, 601 nucleotides. RefSeq lists it as uncharacterized. The record is from RefSeq and is a predicted model, not a curated record. The transcript has 6 exons. Lineage: Eukaryota; Metazoa; Mollusca; Bivalvia; Myida; Myidae.